AAUCAGUGCUGAAAAUCGUCUCUCAUCCGCCAAAACAUCUUCGGCGUUGUAAGGUUAAGCCUCACGGUUCAUUAGUACCGGUUAGCUCAACGCAUCGCUGCGCUUACACACCCGGCCUAUCAACGUCGUCGUCUUCAACGUUCCUUCAGGAGACCUAAAGUCUCAGGGAGAACUCAUCUCGGGGCAAGUUUCGUGCUUAGAUGCUUUCAGCACUUAUCUCUUCCGCAUUUAGCUACCGGGCAGUGCCAUUGGCAUGACAACCCGAACACCAGUGAUGCGUCCNNNNNNNNNNNNNNNNNNNNAGCCCCCCUCAGUUCUCCAGCGCCCACGGCAGAUAGGGACCGAACUGUCUCACGACGUUCUAAACCCAGCUCGCGUACCACUUUAAAUGGCGAACAGCCAUACCCUUGGGACCUACUUCAGCCCCAGGAUGUGAUGAGCCGACAUCGAGGUGCCAAACACCGCCGUCGAUAUGAACUCUUGGGCGGUAUCAGCCUGUUAUCCCCGGAGUACCUUUUAUCCGUUGAGCGAUGGCCCUUCCAUUCAGAACCACCGGAUCACUAUGACCUGCUUUCGCACCUGCUCGCGCCGUCACGCUCGCAGUCAAGCUGGCUUAUGCCAUUGCACUAACCUCCUGAUGUCCGACCAGGAUUAGCCAACCUUCGUGCUCCUCCGUUACUCUUUAGGAGGAGACCGCCCCAGUCAAACUACCCACCAGACACUGUCCGCAACCCGGGUAACGGGUCCACGUUAGAACAUCAAACAUUAAAGGGUGGUAUUUCAAGGUCGGCUCCAUGCAGACUGGCGUCCACACUUCAAAGCCUCCCACCUAUCCUACACAUCAAGGCUCAAUGUUCAGUGUCAAGCUAUAGUAAAGGUUCACGGGGUCUUUCCGUCUUGCCGCGGGUACACUGCAUCUUCACAGCGAGUUCAAUUUCACUGAGUCUCGGGUGGAGACAGCCUGGCCAUCAUUACGCCAUUCGUGCAGGUCGGAACUUACCCGACAAGGAAUUUCGCUACCUUAGGACCGUUAUAGUUACGGCCGCCGUUUACCGGGGCUUCGUUCAGGAGCUUCGCUUGCGCUGACCCCAUCAAUUAACCUUCCGGCACCGGGCAGGCGUCACACCGUAUACGUCCACUUUCGUGUUUGCACAGUGCUGUGUUUUUAAUAAACAGUUGCAGCCAGCUGGUAUCUUCGACUGACUUCAGCUCCAUGAGUAAAUCACUUCACCUACGUGUCAGCGUGCCUUCUCCCGAAGUUACGGCACCAUUUUGCCUAGUUCCUUCACCCGAGUUCUCUCAAGCGCCUUGGUAUUCUCUACCUGACCACCUGUGUCGGUUUGGGGUACGAUUUGAUGUUACCUGAUGCUUAGAGGCUUUUCCUGGAAGCAGGGCAUUUGUUGCUUCAGCACCGUAGUGCCUCGUCGUCACGCCUCAGUGUUAAAGUGAACCGGAUUUACCUGGAACACACACCUACACGCUUAAACCGGGACAACCGUCGCCCGGCCAACAUAGCCUUCUCCGUCCCCCCCUUCGCAGUAACACCAAGUACGGGAAUAUUAACCCGUUUCCCAUCGACUACGCCUUUCGGCCUCGCCUUAGGGGUCGACUCACCCUGCCCCGAUUAACGUUGGACAGGAACCCUUGGUCUUCCGGCGAGCGGGCUUUUCACCCGCUUUAUCGUUACUUAUGUCAGCAUUCGCNNNNNNNNNNNNNNNNNNNNCCCAACAACACCUGAGUGUCGCUGCCGCAGCUUCGGUGCAUGGUUUAGCCCCGUUACAUCUUCCGCGCAGGCCGACUCGACCAGUGAGCUAUUACGCUUUCUUUAAAUGAUGGCUGCUUCUAAGCCAACAUCCUGGCUGUCUGGGCCUUCCCACAUCGUUUCCCACUUAACCAUGACUUUGGGACCUUAGCUGGCGGUCUGGGUUGUUUCCCUCUUCACGACGGACGUUAGCACCCGCCGUGUGUCUCCCGUGAUAACAUUCUCCGGUAUUCGCAGUUUGCAUCGGGUUGGUAAGCCGGGAUGGCCCCCUAGCCGAAACAGUGCUCUACCCCCGGAGAUGAAUUCACGAGGCGCUACCUAAAUAGCUUUCGGGGAGAACCAGCUAUCUCCCGNNNNNNNNNNNNNNNNNNNNCCCCCAGCCACAGGUCAUCCGCUAAUUUUUCAACAUUAGUCGGUUCGGUCCUCCAGUUAGUGUUACCCAACCUUCAACCUGCCCAUGGCUAGAUCACCGGGNNNNNNNNNNNNNNNNNNNNCCCUGCAACUUAACGCCCGGUUAAGACUCGGUUUCCCUCCGGCUCCCCUAUACGGUUAACCUUGCUACAGAAUAUAAGUCGCUGACCCAUUAUACAAAAGGUACGCAGUCACACAGGUAAACCUGUGCUCCCACUGCUUGUACGUACACGGUUUCAGGUUCUUUUUCACUCCCCUCGCCGGGGUUCUUUUCGCCUUUCCCUCACGGUACUGGUUCACUAUCGGUCAGUCAGGAGUAUUUAGCCUUGGAGGAUGGUCCCCCCAUAUUCAGACAGGAUACCACGUGUCCCGCCCUACUCAUCGAGCUCACAGCACAU
This 2571-nucleotide ribosomal RNA is filed under the name Salmonella enterica subsp. enterica serovar Paratyphi A. RNAcentral's name for it is "23S ribosomal RNA". The record is from RNAcentral. Lineage: Bacteria; Pseudomonadati; Pseudomonadota; Gammaproteobacteria; Enterobacterales; Enterobacteriaceae.